This is a ribosomal RNA of Cebus imitator (Panamanian white-faced capuchin), 109 nucleotides long. Lineage: Eukaryota; Metazoa; Chordata; Mammalia; Primates; Cebidae. The record is from Ensembl.
UUUGAGUGCCAUAGCAGCCUGAAUGUGCCCCUUCCUGGAAGCUAAGCAUGAUCAGUUCUGUCUAAGACUUGGAUUGGGGACUGCAUGGGGAGACCGGAGGCUGUAGUAU